UUCUUUGUUUUCUUCGUCAUCAUCGAUUCAUUUUCUGAUGAUGACGAAGAAAAACUCUCCGAAGAGGUCGUUGUUAACGAUCUCUUCGAACCAACCCGAACUGGUUCGGGUUCGCCCGAAUUAACCCUCAACGGAAAAUUCAACAAUGCACGCGAACCCCUAAUUCGAUACGCCGCCUUAUCAUAAGCCAAUGCCGCAUCCUCCGCCGUCUCGUAGGUUCCCAGCCACACUCUCGCCCCAUUCUUCGCCGGAUCCCUAAUUUCCGCCGCGAAUUUUCCCCAUGGCCUCUGUCUUACUCCUCUGUAAUGCAUCGAUUUCGACGACGCCGGUGUCCUCUUCACCGCCGCUGUUUUCAAUUCCACUUCCAAUUUCACCUCCGCCGCCGACUCCGCCGCUGCCGGAGCUGUAAAUCCGGUGAAAUCGAACAUUUCCGGCGAAC
RNAcentral lists this unclassified non-coding RNA (439 nucleotides) under Hevea brasiliensis (rubber tree). Lineage: Eukaryota; Viridiplantae; Streptophyta; Magnoliopsida; Malpighiales; Euphorbiaceae. The record is from RNAcentral.